RNAcentral lists this ribosomal RNA (253 nucleotides) under uncultured bacterium. Its description in RNAcentral is "partial 16S ribosomal RNA". It matches the Rfam family "Bacterial small subunit ribosomal RNA", at positions 524 to 776 of the family's 1533-position model. The record is from RNAcentral.
UACGGAGGGGGCAAGCGUUGUUCGGAAUUACUGGGCGUAAAGGGCGCGUAGGCGGGUCUAUGUGUCAGAGGUGAAAGCCCUGGGCUCAACCCAGGAAUAGCCUUUGAAACUGUAGGUCUUGAGUGCGAGAGAGGAUGGCGGAAUUCCCAGUGUAGAGGUGAAAUUCGUAGAUAUUGGGAAGAACACCGGUGGCGAAGGCGGCCAUCUGGCUCGUAACUGACGCUGAGGCGCGAAAGCGUGGGGAGCAAACAGG